GACGAACGCUGGCGGCGUGCUUAACACAUGCAAGUCGAACGGAAAGGCCCUGCUUGCAGGGUGCUCGAGUGGCGAACGGGUGAGUAACACGUGGGUGAUCUGCCCCUUACUUUGGGAUAAGCCUGGGAAACUGGGUCUAAUACUGGAUAGGACCAUGCUGUAGGUGGUGUGGUGGAAAGAUUAGUUUCGGUAAGGGAUGAGCUCGCGGCCUAUCAGCUUGUUGGUGGGGUAAUGGCCUACCAAGGCGUCGACGGGUAGCCGGCCUGAGAGGGUGGACGGCCACAUUGAGACUGCGAUACGGCCCAGACUCCUACGGUAGGCGGCAGUGGGGAAUAUUGCACUAUGGGCGCAAGCCUGAUGCAGCGAAGCCGCGUGGGGGAUGACGGCCUUCGGGUUGUAAACUCCUUUCAGCCAUGACGAAGCCCUUGUGGUGACGGUAGUGGUAGAAGAAGCACCGGCUAACUACGUG
This 469-nucleotide ribosomal RNA is filed under the name uncultured bacterium. RNAcentral describes it as "partial 16S ribosomal RNA". It matches the Rfam family "Bacterial small subunit ribosomal RNA", at positions 28 to 507 of the family's 1533-position model. The record is from RNAcentral.